RNAcentral lists this RNase P RNA (350 nucleotides) under Acidimicrobiaceae bacterium. RNAcentral's name for it is "RNase P RNA component class A". It matches the Rfam family "Bacterial RNase P class A". Rfam says of the family: Ribonuclease P (RNase P) is a ubiquitous endoribonuclease, found in archaea, bacteria and eukarya as well as chloroplasts and mitochondria. Its best characterised activity is the generation of mature 5'-ends of tRNAs by cleaving the 5'-leader elements of precursor-tRNAs. Cellular RNase Ps are ribonucleoproteins. The record is from RNAcentral. Lineage: Bacteria; Bacillati; Actinomycetota; Acidimicrobiia; Acidimicrobiales; Acidimicrobiaceae.
UGAGCCGGCCGGGUGGUCGCGGGCCUGAUAAGGGUCUGAGGAAGGUCGGGGCUCCAUAGGGAAGGAUGCUGGCUAACAGCCAGGCGAGGCGACUCGACGGAAAGUGCAACAGAGAGUAGACCGCCUCGGCCCCUACGGACCGAGGUAAGGGUGAAACGGUGCGGUAAGAGCGCACCAGCGGUGGGAGAAAUUCUGCCGGCUAGGUAAACCCCAUCCGGAGCAAGGUCAAGGUGAGGGAUUAGUGCCCGCUACGGCCCUUUUGGGCCACCCUCAGGUGGACUGCAUAGAUGGAUGGCCACACAGGUCGCACGGCGACUGGACAGAACCCCGCCUACAGGCCGGCUCAGCGC